ACGGCUCAGUAACACGUGGUCAACAUACCCAGAGGACGUGGAUAACCUCGGGAAACUGAGGAUAAACCGCGAUAGACCAUAAUGUCUGGAAUGAUUUAUGGUUCAAAUCUAUAUGGCCUCUGGAUUGGACUGCGGCCGAUCAGGCUGUUGGUGAGGUAAUGGCCCACCAAACCUGAAACCGGUACGGGCUCUGAGAGGAGAAGCCCGGAGAUGGGCACUGAGACAAGGGCCCAGGCCCUAUGGGGCGCAGCAGGCGCGAAACCUUUGCAAUAGGCGAAAGCCUGACAAGGUUACUCUGAGUGAUCUCCGCUAAGGAAAUCUUUUGACACCUCUAAAAAUGGUGUAGAAUAAGGGGUGGGCAAGCCUGGUGUCAGCCGCCGCGGUAAUACCAGCACCCCGAGUGGUCGGGACGAUUAUUGGGCCUAAAGCAUCCGUAGCCGGUUCUUUAAGUCCUCCGUUAAAUCCACCUGCUUAACGGAUGGGCUGCGAAGGAUACUAUAGAGCUGGGAGGCGGGAGAGGCAAGCGGUACUCAGUGGGUAGGGGUAAAAUCCGUUGAUCCAUUGAAGACCACCAGUGGCGAAGGCGGCUUGCCAGAACGCGCUCGACGGUGAGGGAUGAAAGCUGGGGGAGCAAACCGGAUUAGAUACCCGGGUAGUCCCAGCUGUAAACGAUGCAGACUCGGUGAUGAACAGGCUUCGUGCCUGUUCAGUGCCGCAGGGAAGCCGUUAAGUCUGCCGCCUGGGGAGUACGGUCGCAAGACUGAAACUUAAAGGAAUUGGCGGGGGAG
RNAcentral lists this ribosomal RNA (788 nucleotides) under uncultured archaeon. Its description in RNAcentral is "bacterial SSU rRNA". It matches the Rfam family "Archaeal small subunit ribosomal RNA", at positions 85 to 876 of the family's 1478-position model. The record is from RNAcentral.